GUAACACAUCCUUACAUUGUUAAACAAAUGCAGCAGAAACAAAUGUAACACAUCUUUACAAAGCUGAAAUAAUAUACCACAGCAGAAAUGUGCUGGGCUGGGUAGGUCAGGGAUCUAGAUAAGAGCCCUUUGCGUCUUGCCUGGGAACCACGACUCCACUGAUGAGGAAGGCAAGUGUCCAAAGAGAGAAAUGGGUUGCAGUGAUGUGGACAACUGCAUCAAGACAGCCAUUGCUCUGGACACGAGGACCCAGGGUGUCUUGGCUGGAUGGUUCUGACGUUUUCAUGGUAAACACACAAAGGUGCUUCACAGAGACUGGCAGAACCUGCCUCUAAUGCAUCCAGGGGACACUAAACACUUUAGUCUAUUCUCCCGUGAAUAAUUCUCCAAGUCUAACCACAUUAGGCCCCUGUGGGGAGGUGGUUUGAGCCACUCUGUCAGAUAUCUUUGCCACUUAAGUGAAUGAUGAAGAGUAGGCCAGCCACAGUGCCUGGGUCUGUGGAGGAGGCAGCCAGCCAGCAGAGCUGGCCUCAGAGGUUUUAUUUCUCUGGCUGUGUAAUCAGAUUGAAGGCAGAAUGUUUUUUUCUGUGUCUUCUCUGUCUAUUCUCUCUUUGGGUACCAUCCCCUCUCCUCCACCCUUCUACCCCACCAUUGGUCCUGUGGUUGUCAUGGUAACAGCUUUGGCCCCAUCAUUCCAGGUUCUCACUCUGGAGAACAGAGAUUCAAAAAGAUCCCACAGUGGCCUGUUCCCUCAGAGAGGGAAGUUCUGUACCCUCAGAGAGCAACAGGAAGAGGAAGUGUCUGUCAGCCGAGCAGGAGCAACGUGACUUCUGCCCUUGUAGCAGAAUGACAAGAUGGCAGUUUAGUUGCAUGGGACUGACUUAGUUCUGACCGCUGCUCGUGCUGUGGAGGGAUGGGAGCACCUGACGCAUCACCUCACUUUCCGUCUGUUCCCCCGCCCAUGUUGAUAUUUUUAGAAGAAUGGUUAAAUACAUCAACCUUCAAAAAGAGUAAUUAUUAAACAUCCUUUGCCAUAAAA
Molecule: non-coding RNA, 1039 nt
Organism: Peromyscus maniculatus bairdii (prairie deer mouse)
Lineage: Eukaryota; Metazoa; Chordata; Mammalia; Rodentia; Cricetidae
Source: RefSeq, a predicted model, not a curated record